Mirounga angustirostris (Northern elephant seal) is the source of this 4670-nucleotide long non-coding RNA. RefSeq lists it as uncharacterized. The record is from RefSeq and is a predicted model, not a curated record. The transcript is spliced from 3 exons. NCBI's taxonomy places the organism in Eukaryota, Metazoa, Chordata, Mammalia, Carnivora, Phocidae.
CCGCCCGCGCCACCCCCGGCCCCCGUCACCCCUCCCCGCGCCCCGCUCCCCCCGCCCCCGCCCGCGCCGCCCCCGGCCCCCGUCACCCCUCCCCGCGCCCCGCACAGCCACACGCCCUCGCGGCCCGCCGAGCUCCUCCCCCGCGCGACUCGCGCCCUGCCGCGCCCGGCCCGCGGGGUGCCACUGCUGGGGUCCCCAUCUCCUGUUUAUUCGUGGCCCCCUCUCCCCGCACUCUCGGAGCAGCCCAGAUGGAGAACUUCCUCUCUGCACCUGGUCCGAGCUGUGCCAAGGUGGGAGAAAGGGAGGGGCGUCCGGGUGGGAGGAGGGGAUGCUGGUGAAAGAAAUGGGAAUUUAGGCCAAUUCAGAGAGCACAUGAAUAUAAUCGCUCAACGCGCGUAAUGAGCUCCUACUGUGGGCCUGGUCUAGCGCUGGGUGUUUGCCCGGAUGGGGGCGUCAUGGAGUUAAGACAUUCGUUCAAAGCGUUCAUUCACUCCUUCAUUCAUUCUCUACUGGGAGGGAGAGACGACCGGUACCCAACACUAGACCAACAGGAGGCAGAAUGGCAGGCAUCGACCGACGGUUAUGGGGGUUCUUCGCAGCACAUUUCAGAACCUUGAUAACCCCCCUCCCCCCAUCAGUUCUCCCCUUGCCAGUGGUAAAGGUAAAUCCCUGCCUCCUGGGCCUGAGGGAGACAGAGAGGCCAAGAAAUAGCCAGCCAUCCCCAGCCCCCAAAUACACACCAGCACAGGCAUAUACUUAGUGGACAUCUCCCCUAAUACUUGCAGGUACCAGGAUAUUAUUGUUACAUAUCUUAAUUAUUGACAGUCUAAUAAAUGUAAAAUGAUGGCUCGUGAACCUAAUAUCAUUUACCUAAGAGCUGAGGAGGUUGAACAUCCUUCAUAUGUUCAUUCCGCAUGGUGGUUUUGGUUUUUUUUUUUUCCGGAAAAAAAAAAAAAUGCCUGCUCAUGACUUGCCCCUUUUUCGCUUGAGUUGAAUUUUUCUUACUAAUUUUUAGGAGUCUUGUGUGUAUUAGAGACCACUUCUUUGCCAGUUAUAUCAGUUACAGAUAUUUUCUCCUGGUAUGCAACUUCUUCCCUCCCUUCCUUCCUUCCUCCCUCCCUCCUCUCCUUCUCUCUUUUCUCUCUCUCUCUCUCUCUGGCUUUUGAUGAAUAGCAGCAGUUUAUAAUUGCAAUGUAGUCAAAUGUAUCAAUCUCCAAUCUUUUGCCUUUAUGGUUAGUGCUUUCUGUGACUUGUCUGUUCCUAUGAAAGAUCAUAAAGAUAUUCUCUUUUUUCUGACAAGACUUAAAGUUUUUCCUUUAACGUUUAAGUCUCUCAACCACCUGGAACUGAUUUCUGUAUAGGAUGCAAAGCAGGGAUCCAACUUAAUUUUUUCCAUGUGGAUAAUGUGUUGUCUCCGUAAUAUUUGUUGACUUGCUCACCUGGUGGCUAACGUGCAGUGUCACCCCUGUCAUAUAUCAGUCUGCAUGUAAGCAGGAGUCUGGUUCUGGUCUCCCUGCUCUCUUUUGAUCUCAUUGCCCAACCCCUCUGCCAAUACCACACUGCUCUAAUUACAGUCGUUUAUUACGACUGUUUAUACCUUUCCCUCGUACAUUCUUUGGGUCUCAGUUCAAAUACCACUUCUUCCUUAGAGAUGCCUGAUCGAAUCCCCCAAUUUAAGUAGAUGUACAUUAUAUUCUAUUCAUGGCUUUUACUUCAGUUUGUAAUUAUACAUCCUGUAUGUUUAAUUGUUAAAUGGCUGAUUCUCACAUUAGUCUAGAUGUUCCAUUAUGGCAGAGAUGUUGUUUCUCCAGGGCUGAACACAGUGAGUGUCACACAGAGAACAUUCAAUAAAUAGAUAACAAAUGAAUGAAUGAAUUCCUCUCUGCCCUGCCACAUUUCGCACACUGCCUGGCACACGACAGAUGCUCCAGAAAUGCUCAAGAGAAGAACAGUCGUUUCUGUCAGUGUCCCCUUUUUUGCUUAAUUUGUCUUCAUAAAACAUGUCAGCAGAUGACAUACUAUGUAUAUUAUCUACUUGCUUACUCUUUCCCUCUACUACGAUGUAAGCUCCAUGAGGCCAAGACUUGCUGUGUUUUUGGUUUUGUUUUGUUUUUUUUUUAAGAUUCUAUUUAUUUAGUUGACAAGAGAGCAAGAGAGCACAAGCAGGGGGAGCAGCAGAGGGAGAAGGAGAAGCAGGCUCCCCCUGACCAAGGACCCUGAUGAGGGGCUCGAUCCCAGGACACUGGGAUCGUGCCCUGAGCCAAAGGCAGAUGCUUAACUGACUGAGCCACCCAGGUGCCCCGGGACUUGCUCUGUUUUAACUCCUGUUGUUUCCCAGGCCUCAGAAUAGUGCCUGGCAAUUGGUAGAUGCUCAAUAAAUAUUUAAUGAAUGAAUGAAUGGGUGAAUGAAGAAUGAACUUAAUUUUCUCCCUCCGGUUCAAUCAACUCUUUCUUUUUGGCUUUGGAAUCAUUGGGCACCUCCGUUUUUCCUGUGGCUCUCUGAGCAGUUGCCUCUACCCCCCAUUCCCCCUUCUCUUUUUCCCUCCGUGUGACCAGAGAGGUAGCAGCCCAUCCCCCUUUGUUACCCUUCUAGCAGGAUAAGAGGCAGGCAUUUGUCUGGGCUCCCAGUAAUUCUGAGAAGGCAAUGCUUGCCCUCUCUCCUCAGCACCCCUGCACACUCUAGAUGCGCCCCUUGCAUGCCCACGUUCUGCCUGGUUUGGCUCAUCUUUUACUCCUCUCCUGAAAUAGACCGUGAGCACACGUCUCACUCUCUACAUCUGCGGCUUGGUAAUAGGGCCUGGCAAAGAGGAGGCGCUCAGCAAGUGUUUGCUGAAAAAAGAAAGAAUGAGUAUCUGCUGUCACUGUUUUAGGAUGUAUGAGACUCUGCCCCAUAAGACAGCUUCUCAAGAGAGGGGCCAGCCGCCCUCACUGCUGAGACUCCCUGGGGGGACUGAUGCUGUUGCCAAGUCAGAGCUCCCUGAGCCUUUGCUCUCUAAACAGUGUCUGGGCUGCUGUGGGCUUUUCAUUAGCUUUUUGACCUUGAAAAUGAUUUCUUCCCAUUUCGCCUCUGAACAAAUGACCACCUCUGAGGUUCUAGCUAUUAAGCCUACAUUGUGGUAGGUUGGAUAAUGACCUUCCCCAAACAGGCCCACAUCCUAAAUCCCAGAACCCAUGAAUGCUGCCUUAUGUGGCAGAAGGGGCUUUGUUGCUGUGAGUGACCUAAAGAUCUUGAGAGGGGGAGACUAUCCUGGGUUGUCCGGCUGGGCCCACUGUAAUCACAAUAUUCCGUACAAGAGGGACGCCGGAGGAGACCAGAAGGCAAUACGAUGCCCGACACAGCACGUGGAAUGACCAUCUUGAAGAUGGAGGGAGGGGCCACAAACCAAGGAAUGCAGGUAGCCACUGAAGCGGAAAACGGCAAGAGAAAGGAUUUCUCCUGAGAGCCUUUGGAAGAGACCAGCCCUGCCGAUACCUUGACGUUAGUCCGCUGUGAAACUGAUUUUACACUUCUGGCUUCCAAAACAAAACAGCUUUCCUGGGAUUUGGAUCAGAAAAGCCAGGAAGUGCUCCUCCCCUCUGGUGCCUGAUGUUCUUGUUGCUCUGUGUGACUCCUUUCUCCUGCAAACCACCUCCCUCAGCAGCCUCCACGCUGCUGCUGGCCCUGUCCUCAGCUCGUUUUCCCUGCCAGGCCCCAUGAGCAGCCCAUCCACUCCAUCCCUUCCUCCUCAGCCUGGCUCUGGCCUGUCCUUUGGGCAUUGUGCACAAAUUCAUCCUGAACAAAGGGUCCCAGCAGCCCAGUCCAGGCUUGGGGAUUGUCCUCAGCUUGACUGGGCUGAGCGUUAUGAGAGAACACUGACGGAACACCUCACCCACUCCAAGCACCCAAUGCCAUGACCAAGGUAAAACCUUGCUUGAAUUGGAGUUUCCUUGGUUUUCCUCUUCAAGGAUUUUAAGCUAGAGUGUAUUGAUACCACCUGAUCAGAAUUCCCUACUGUGCCCUACAGGUGGGCAGAGAGUGAUAGUAACACUUUGCUUUCUGGAUCAGCUUCAACCUCGAUUUGUAUAACAGAAAUAUGGCAUGGGAGACCUUGCACGCACCUGGUAAUCGGGGGCUGACAUGGGCUGAUGGAGUAAGACUGUAUAAAGAACCGAGCUGCUGCAACUACUGAGAACCCACUGUAUCCACGUUGGGCCACAGAGGCUGCCCUUUCCUACCACAUUAGGAGGAUUGGAGCUGGGACCCAAGAAGCUGAUGCCUCUGUCUUCUUACCUGUUUCGGGGAUGAAAGAGACUGUAGCCUGAAAGCCUCUGAAGGUCACAUUGUCAUCCGACUGGAAGCUGAUGAGCAUUACACCAGAAGAGCUCAGCACGGGGGCGGGGGUAACAAAGCCACACAACCGAGCUGGGUAAAGCCCAGCCCAGGCAAGACGCGGUCGAGGGCCCAGCAAAUAGACGUGACAUUGGAGAGAGAGAAAAAAAGUUGUCCUUUAGGCAACUGUUGAGAAAUAAACUUUUUUGUUGGGUGUCCCAAUUCGUUUUCAAAAUAGAAGGGCAGUUUGCUUCUUUUUAAUAGGUAUUGACCUCCAGCAAUGCUUCAGUUCUGUUUAUCUCCCACACACUCCCACUGGGAACGCCCCUGAGGGAACUGGUUCGAGCCACAGGGCUUAUUU